AUGAUGAUGUUACUGACUCUACUGCUGACCAUCCUGGAGCUCCUGGUUCAGGGAUCAUCAGGUCAAGUCACUAUAACCCAGACUCCAGGAUCUCAGUCUGUUGUUCCAGGACAGACUGUCUCUAUUACAUGUGAAGUUAAUCCAAGUACAGGUUACUGCUUCCAAUGGUACCUUCAGAAACAAGGAGAUGCUCCUAAACUCCUUAUAAGAUGUGGAAGCAGCCGUCAGUCUGGAGUCCCUGAUCGUUUCAGUGGAAGUGGUUCUGGUUCUGACUACACUCUGACCAUCAGCGGAGUUCAGGUUGAAGAUACUGGAGUUUACUACUGUCAGAGUCUUCAUAGCAUCAACAGUCAGUACGUGUUCACACAGUGA
Non-coding RNA from Cyprinodon variegatus (sheepshead minnow), 372 nucleotides. Lineage: Eukaryota; Metazoa; Chordata; Actinopteri; Cyprinodontiformes; Cyprinodontidae. The record is from the annotation of a RefSeq genome assembly.